Long non-coding RNA from Hyla sarda, 852 nucleotides. RefSeq lists it as uncharacterized. The record is from RefSeq and is a predicted model, not a curated record. The transcript has 3 exons. Lineage: Eukaryota; Metazoa; Chordata; Amphibia; Anura; Hylidae.
UAUUGUGCAUUUAUAUGAUAAACCUUCCUACUCGUUCAUCUCAUAAGAAUGGCUUUAUGCAAUGCCUUACAAAUGAGUGGAGGCAUGUGACAUGAUGAUAGGGUAACCAUGGCAAUACUACGCAUAAUCCUUACAUUCAUCAUCUGAGCAUGUAUGAAAAGUGCUGAGAUGCCAGUUCUUUCCGAAGUUUGACGGGUGGAAGAAAUUGUCUGACAAAUACAUAAGGCCGGUGAUCAUAUCGUGACAGGUCUGUACAUUUUUAUUAGUCUACCUUGCAAUUUUAAGAAUGUUGGGAAAAAUCGAAUACGUUGUAUGGAAGAAGCUGGGAUUUUACUCCCUCGGGAGUUUCCUGCAAUCGGCUGCAAUGUCCUGUGCAUCUAGCCGGCUCGGUCCUGGAUUUACCAUUUGGAGGGACAAGGAUAUGUGUAUCGCCACCUGCCGCCCUCCGCGCUUCACUUUAUUCUCCAUAACCUCCGAGGACAAUGACAUGACAUCAUUUUUCUAAAAUAGCCUGUGAGCAGCGAUCAUGCAGAUACUUGGACAGCAUGGCUUCAUUACAUCAGACGAGCAUUACAUCAUUUCUCUCUGUACCGAUUCACAUUAUAUUCCAUUCUAUAUGCAAGACGCUGGGCACCUUUUAUUCACUCCGUACAGGACGCUCAGUACAGUUGAGCAAUGUCUCGCUCUAUUUUUAUCACAGAUGUGAGCCAAGAACAUCAAUAUGAACACUGAGCUAUACGUCUUCCUGAAAUCUGUCUUGCAUUUUUCUUUCAUGCUUUCUGCUUAAAUCCAUCUAAAUGGGUCUUGGCACAUAUUCAAAAAACACAUAAAAGUGGCAUAUUUACCUCAAGC